Molecule: transfer RNA, 65 nt
Filed under: Diadegma semiclausum
Lineage: Eukaryota; Metazoa; Arthropoda; Insecta; Hymenoptera; Ichneumonidae
Description: tRNA-Tyr
Source: RNAcentral
AGUAAUGUGUCUGAUUAAAGUAAUAAAUUGUAAAUUUAUUUAAAAAAAUAAAAUUUUCUUUACUA